UCCGGGGAUCCGNGAANNAAAGUCUGAACGGAGCAACGCCGCGUGAGUGAUGAAGGCUUUCGGGUCGUAAAACUCUGUUGUUAGGGAAGAACAAGUACAAGAGUAACUGCUUGUACCUUGACGGUACCUAACCAGAAAGCCACGGCUAACUACGUGCCAGCAGCCGCGGUAAUACGUAGGUGGCAAGCGUUAUCCGGAAUUAUUGGGCGUAAAGCGCGCGCAGGCGGUUUCUUAAGUCUGAUGUGAAAGCCCACGGCUCAACCGUGGAGGGUCAUUGGAAACUGGGGAACUUGAGUGCAGAAGAGAAAAGCGGAAUUCCACGUGUAGCGGUGAAAUGCGUAGAGAUGUGGAGGAACACCAGUGGCGAAGGCGGCUUUUUGGUCUGUAACUGACGCUGAGGCGCGAAAGCGUGGGGAGCAAACAGGAUUAGAUACCCCCCGGGAAAUCAA
Molecule: ribosomal RNA, 449 nt
Filed under: Priestia megaterium
Lineage: Bacteria; Bacillati; Bacillota; Bacilli; Caryophanales; Bacillaceae
Description: bacterial SSU rRNA
Rfam family: Bacterial small subunit ribosomal RNA
Source: RNAcentral